Molecule: ribosomal RNA, 1103 nt
Filed under: Klebsiella pneumoniae
Lineage: Bacteria; Pseudomonadati; Pseudomonadota; Gammaproteobacteria; Enterobacterales; Enterobacteriaceae
Also listed under: 1 other name
Description: partial 23S ribosomal RNA
Rfam family: Bacterial large subunit ribosomal RNA
Source: RNAcentral
GGGACACGUGGUAUCCUGUCUGAAUAUGGGGGGACCAUCCUCCAAGGCUAAAUACUCCUGACUGACCGAUAGUGAACCAGUACCGUGAGGGAAAGGCGAAAAGAACCCCGGCGAGGGGAGUGAAAAAGAACCUGAAACCGUGUACGUACAAGCAGUGGGAGCACCUUCGGGUGUGACUGCGUACCUUUUGUAUAAUGGGUCAGCGACUUAUAUUCUGUAGCAAGGUUAACCGUAUAGGGGAGCCGCAGGGAAACCGAGUCUUAACUGGGCGUUAAGUUGCAGGGUAUAGACCCGAAACCCGGUGAUCUAGCCAUGGGCAGGUUGAAGGUUGGGUAACACUAACUGGAGGACCGAACCGACUAAUGUUGAAAAAUUAGCGGAUGACUUGUGGCUGGGGGUGAAAGGCCAAUCAAACCGGGAGAUAGCUGGUUCUCCCCGAAAGCUAUUUAGGUAGCGCCUCGUGAACUCAUCUUCGGGGGUAGAGCACUGUUUCGGCUAGGGGGUCAUCCCGACUUACCAACCCGAUGCAAACUACGAAUACCGAAGAAUGUUAUCACGGGAGACACACGGCGGGUGCUAACGUCCGUCGUGAAGAGGGAAACAACCCAGACCGCCAGCUAAGGUCCCAAAGUCAUGGUUAAGUGGGAAACGAUGUGGGAAGGCACAGACAGCCAGGAUGUUGGCUUAGAAGCAGCCAUCAUUUAAAGAAAGCGUAAUAGCUCACUGGUCGAGUCGGCCUGCGCGGAAGAUGUAACGGGGCUAAACCAUGCACCGAAGCUGCGGCAGCGACACUAUGUGUUGUUGGGUAGGGGAGCGUUCUGUAAGCCUGCGAAGGUGUGCUGUGAGGCAUGCUGGAGGUAUCAGAAGUGCGAAUGCUGACAUAAGUAACGAUAAAGCGGGUGAAAAGCCCGCUCGCCGGAAGACCAAGGGUUCCUGUCCAACGUUAAUCGGGGCAGGGUGAGUCGACCCCUAAGGCGAGGCCGAAAGGCGUAGUCGAUGGGAAACAGGUUAAUAUUCCUGUACUUGGUGUUACUGCGAAGGGGGGACGGAGAAGGCUAUGUUAGCCGGGCGACGGUUGUCCCGGUUUAAGCAUGUAGGCUGGU